CCUACGGGUGGCAGCAGUGAGGAAUAUUGGUCAAUGGACGCAAGUCUGAACCAGCCAUGCCGCGUGCAGGAAGACGGCUCUAUGAGUUGUAAACUGCUUUUGUACGAGGGUAAACGCAGAUACGCGUAUCUGUCUGCAAGUAUCGUACGAAUAAGGAUCGGCUAACUCCGUGCCAGCAGCCGCGGUAAUACGGAGGAUUCAAGCGUUAUCCGGAUUUAUUGGGUUUAAAGGGUGCGUAGGCGGUCGGAUAAGUUAGAGGUGAAAUCCCGAGGCUCAACUUCGGAAUUGCCUCUGAUACUGUUCGGCUAGAGAGUAGUUGCGGUAGGCGGAAUGUAUGGUGUAGCGGUGAAAUGCUUAGAGAUCAUACAGAACACCGAUUGCGAAGGCAGCUUACCAAGCUACGUCUGACGUUGAGGCACGAAAGCGUGGGGAGCAAACAGGAGUAGAUACCCCAGUAGUC
Molecule: ribosomal RNA, 460 nt
Filed under: uncultured bacterium
Lineage: Bacteria
Description: partial 16S ribosomal RNA
Rfam family: Bacterial small subunit ribosomal RNA
Source: RNAcentral